AAACAGAACAAGCCAUAAUCAGAUCACAUUUAAUACCCAUCUGAGAGGCAAAGAGAAACAACUCUGUGUUUACAUCACAGUCCGGAUUCCUUCCUGUUGGUCUUCUGUUAACCUCCAGGAGGGCGGUGAGGCCAACAGCCUUCCCUGAGCUCCACCAGGACUGCUCUGCCCCACUGAGCAGCUCCCAACGGCCCUCCCUGCACAGUUGGUUUUGGGAUCGCAGCAGAAACAAUCGUGCCUCUGUCUGUGAUGCGGCAGAGCAGAAUGAAUGGAUGCUGAAAUGAGAUGUUGUAUUGUGAGAACAGACGAAGGGCAUGGAAGAAAGCUCCUUUCUAUGGCUCAGUUUGUAGAGUCAGACGAGAGAGGGAUUUAUUUUUUGUUACUGGUCCAAUCAUCUGAUUGUGAGUGGAUGCCAGUAAAAACUGGGACUCCCCACAUCCUACCUUCCCUCUGCUCUAUUUAUUUUUGCACCUUCUGAGCACGUGGCAUCUCAGCAGCACCUCACCUGCUGCCCCAGAGGACGAAGCACGCCGGCAAGAGGAGGAGGAGGGCUGUGACACAUCCCCAUAGAACAGCGAGCAAAACCUUUCCCAGGCAUCGGAGCCGAGAGGACAUUUCCAGCGCCCCCUGAUUUCGCGAGGGGAAACUCCACCUCAAAGCAGCGCUGAGGGCACAGCAUCGGGAAUUUGUCCUGAAGAGCCCAGAAGGUGAACGUUGUAACCACCAGGCAGGCUGACAAAGCACCAACAUUACUUGCGGGGCAGCCAGGACACACAGGAGCUGGUCUCCAAUAUCCUGGUGCAGGACAGCAGGAGCAUCCCUCUGCCUCUCACUGUCUCACCCAGGACCAAGGCUUCCUGGCAGGGAACUGGAGUGAAUCAUGCAGAAGGAGAGAACUGGAGCAGGAAAUACAGCUGCCAGGCUGACUCAGCACACGGCUUCUCUCUUGGACCUUGAACAGAUGGGAACUGUGAUCAGUGUUAAUGUUUAACUCCACCAAAAAUCCCCUGUUUAGCAAAAGACACCUGAAGCUCACCAGCUUUUCUGGAAGGAGGUGCUUUGCUUUGCCAGGAGAUGCGCUGAUGAUGAUUCCUCAGUGGCCAGAUCAGCAAUUGCACCUUUUAGCAGGCAAAUGAAAUCCAAAGGGCCUCACAACAGAGAAGCUCCAGGAAGGAGAUGGAUAAAAUCAGUUAAUCUCUGCAGGCCUGCACUAUGCUGGGCAUGUCAAGUCACACCAUAACUACAGAUCUGCUUUAUAGACCUCCAAUGUGUAGAGCAAUAACAAAGCAUGCAUCUGUGCAGAGGCCCGAAUUGUACAACAGUCACCAAUGAGCUGGAAAAUAAGUAAACAGUGAAGUGACAAAUCUACUGAUACGGAACUACUCAGGACAUCCAAACUGACUGGAAAGAGUCAGGAAGGAAUCCCACAUCACUGGGCAAUCCAACAACGAAUGCAAAUAUGAAGGGGCAAAGCUAGCUUGACUGUAAUUACACAGUGAUGAGGUCUAAGUUUGCUAUUUCUACUUAGAAAGGAGCUCAUGGAAUCAUGGGG
Molecule: long non-coding RNA, 1552 nt
Organism: Gallus gallus (chicken)
Lineage: Eukaryota; Metazoa; Chordata; Aves; Galliformes; Phasianidae
Source: Ensembl